This 65-nucleotide transfer RNA is filed under the name Dipodomys ordii (Ord's kangaroo rat). It matches the Rfam family "tRNA". Rfam says of the family: Transfer RNA (tRNA) molecules are approximately 80 nucleotides in length. Their secondary structure includes four short double-helical elements and three loops (D, anti-codon, and T loops). Lineage: Eukaryota; Metazoa; Chordata; Mammalia; Rodentia; Heteromyidae. The record is from Rfam by way of RNAcentral.
GGUGGCUCAGUGGUAGAGUGCUUGCCUUGCAAGCCUGAGGCCAGAGGUUCGAUUCCUCAGUACCA